CCUACGGGCGGCAGCAGUGAGGAAUAUUGGUCAAUGGGCGGAAGCCUGAACCAGCCAAGUAGCGUGCGGGAUGAAGGCCCUACGGGUCGUAAACCGCUUUUGCACGGGGAUAACACCCUCCACUUGUGGAGGUCUGCAGGUACCGUGCGAAUAAGAGCCGGCUAAUUCCGUGCCAGCAGCCGCGGUAAUAGGGAAGGCCCGAGCGUUAUCCGGAUUCAUUGGGCUUAAAGGGAGCGUAGGCGGGCGUUCAAGUCAGCUGUAAAAUCGCGCGGCUCAACCGCCCCCCGCAGUUGAAACUGGACGCCUUGAGUACACAAGAGGCAGGCGGAAGUCGUGGUGUAGCGGUGAAAUGCAUAGAUAUCACGAGGAACCCCGAUUGCGAAGGCGGCUUACUGGACUGUAACUGACGUUGAGGCUCGAAAGCGUGGGGAGCAAGCAGGAUUAGAUACCCGAGUAGUC
Molecule: ribosomal RNA, 459 nt
Filed under: uncultured bacterium
Lineage: Bacteria
Description: partial 16S ribosomal RNA
Rfam family: Bacterial small subunit ribosomal RNA
Source: RNAcentral